This 1343-nucleotide ribosomal RNA is filed under the name uncultured bacterium. Its description in RNAcentral is "16S ribosomal RNA". It matches the Rfam family "Bacterial small subunit ribosomal RNA", at positions 28 to 1378 of the family's 1533-position model. The record is from RNAcentral.
GACGAACGCUCUUGGCGUGCUUAACACAUGCAAGUCGAACGGAAAGGCCCUGCUUUUGUGGGGUGCUCGAGUGGCGAACGGGUGAGUAACACGUGAGUAACCUGCCCUUGACUUUGGGAUAACUUCAGGAAACUGGGGCUAAUACCGGAUAGGAGCUCCUGCUGCAUGGUGGGGGUUGGAAAGUUUCGGCGGUUGGGGAUGGACUCGCGGCUUAUCAGCUUGUUGGUGGGGUAGUGGCUUACCAAGGCUUUGACGGGUAGCCGGCCUGAGAGGGUGACCGGCCACAUUGGGACUGAGAUACGGCCCAGACUCCUACGGGAGGCAGCAGUGGGGAAUAUUGCACAAUGGGCGGAAGCCUGAUGCAGCAACGCCGCGUGCGGGAUGACGGCCUUCGGGUUGUAAACCGCUUUCGCCUGUGACGAAGCGUGAGUGACGGUAAUGGGUAAAGAAGCACCGGCUAACUACGUGCCAGCAGCCGCGGUGAUACGUAGGGUGCGAGCGUUGUCCGGAUUUAUUGGGCGUAAAGGGCUCGUAGGUGGUUGAUCGCGUCGGAAGUGUAAUCUUGGGGCUUAACCCUGAGCGUGCUUUCGAUACGGGUUGACUUGAGGAAGGUAGGGGAGAAUGGAAUUCCUGGUGGAGCGGUGGAAUGCGCAGAUAUCAGGAGGAACACCAGUGGCGAAGGCGGUUCUCUGGGCCUUUCCUGACGCUGAGGAGCGAAAGCGUGGGGAGCGAACAGGCUUAGAUACCCUGGUAGUCCACGCUGUAAACGGUGGGUACUAGGUGUGGGGUCCAUUCCACGGGUUCCGUGCCGUAGCUAACGCUUUAAGUACCCCGCCUGGGGAGUACGGCCGCACGGCUAAAACUCAAAGGAAUUGACGGGGCCCCGCACAAGCGGCGGAGCAUGCGGAUUAAUUCGAUGCAACGCGUAGAACCUUACCUGGGUUUGACAUGGAUCGGGAGCGCUCAGAGAUGGGUGUGCCUCUUUUGGGGUCGGUUCACAGGUGGUGCAUGGCUGUCGUCAGCUCGUGUCGUGAGAUGUUGGGUUAAGUCCCGCAACGAGCGCAACCCUUGUUCACUGUUGCCAGCACGUUAUGGUGGGGACUCAGUGGAGACCGCCGGGGUCAACUCGGAGGAAGGUGGGGAUGACGUCAAGUCAUCAUGCCCCUUAUGUCCAGGGCUUCACGCAUGCUACAAUGGCUGGUACAGAGAGUGGCGAGCCUGUGAGGGUGAGCGAAUCUCGGAAAGCCGGUCUCAGUUCGGAUUGGGGUCUGCAACUCGACCUCAUGAAGUCGGAGUCGCUAGUAAUCGCAGAUCAGCAACGCUGCGGUGAAUACGUUCCCGGG